UACGGGGGGGGCAAGCGUUGUUCGGAAUUACUGGGCGUAAAGGGCUCGUAGGCGGCCAACUAAGUCAGACGUGAAAUCCCUCGGCUUAACCGUGGAACUGCUUGGCAUACUGGCGGUCUUGAGCAACCUAGGGGCGAGCGGAACAAAUGGUGGAGCGGUGAAAUGCGUAGAUAUCAUUUGGAACGCCAAUGGUGAAAACAGCUCGCUGGGGGUUUGCUGACGCUGAGACACGAAAGCCAGGGGAGCAAACGGG
This 253-nucleotide ribosomal RNA is filed under the name uncultured bacterium. RNAcentral's name for it is "partial 16S ribosomal RNA". It matches the Rfam family "Bacterial small subunit ribosomal RNA", at positions 524 to 776 of the family's 1533-position model. The record is from RNAcentral.